RNAcentral lists this long non-coding RNA (540 nucleotides) under Solanum tuberosum (potato). RNAcentral describes it as "long non-coding RNA (STUB_LNC005158)". The record is from RNAcentral. Lineage: Eukaryota; Viridiplantae; Streptophyta; Magnoliopsida; Solanales; Solanaceae.
AGAUGGUAAAUCAAGCUAAACCAGAGAUGCAUGAAAAUGCUGCUGUGAUGACUCAAGGUACAGGAUCUGGACCUGCACCUUUUGCAGGCACUAUGGGUGAUCUAGUUCCAUCCAACAAUUUGAGUUCUGAUUAUGGAACUUCAAAUCUUGGAAUCAACUCUCAGUGUGGUGGAGGAGUUACGACUGAGGGAAAUGCUGUUAUUGGAGUUGAGCAGGUAACUUCAGAGUUGGCACCAGUUGCUUGGAAUGACAACCUUCAUGUACAGGACCUGCCCCUUUUGCAUGAAAAUGCUGCUGUGAUGACUCAAGGUACAGGAUCUGGACCUGCACCUUUUGCAGACACUAUGGGUGAUCUAGUUCCAUCCAACAAUUGUGGUUCUGAUUUUGGAACAUCAAACCUUGGAAUCAACUCUCAGUGUGGUGGAGGAGUUACAACUGAGGGAAAUGCCGGUAUUGGAGUUGAGCAGGUAACUUCAGAGGUGGCACCAGUUGCUUGUAACGACAACCUUCAUGUGCUAUAGAUGCAGAUCAAGGAUGAAG